UUUGCUCUUUAAAAAUCUGGAUCAAGCUGAAAAUUGAAACACAGAACAACGAAAGUUGUUCGUGAGUUUCUCAAAUUUUCGCAACACGAUGAUGAAUCGUAAGAAACAUCUUCGGGUUGUGAGGUUAAGCGACUAAGCGUACACGGUGGAUGCCCUGGCAGUCAGAGGCGAUGAAGGACGUGCUAAUCUGCGAUAAGCGCCGGUAAGGUGAUAUGAACCGUUAUAACCGGCGAUUUCCGAAUGGGGAAACCCAGUGUGAUUCGUCACACUAUCAUUAACUGAAUCCAUAGGUUAAUGAGGCGAACCGGGGGAACUGAAACAUCUAAGUACCCCGAGGAAAAGAAAUCAACCGAGAUUCCCCCAGUAGCGGCGAGCGAACGGGGAGGAGCCCAGAGCCUGAAUCAGCAUGUGUGUUAGUGGAAGCGUCUGGAAAGGCGCGCGAUACAGGGUGACAGCCCCGUACACAAAAGCGCAUGUGCUGUGAGCUCGAUGAGUAGGGCGGGACACGUGGUAUCCUGUCUGAAUAUGGGGGGACCAUCCUCCAAGGCUAAAUACUCCUGACUGACCGAUAGUGAACCAGUACCGUGAGGGAAAGGCGAAAAGAACCCCGGCGAGGGGAGUGAAAAAGAACCUGAAACCGUGUACGUACAAGCAGUGGGAGCACAGGUUUACCUGUGUGACUGCGUACCUUUUGUAUAAUGGGUCAGCGACUUAUAUUCUGUAGCAAGGUUAACCGUAUAGGGGAGCCGGAGGGAAACCGAGUCUUAACCGGGCGUUAAGUUGCAG
This 786-nucleotide ribosomal RNA is filed under the name Salmonella enterica subsp. enterica serovar Paratyphi A. Its description in RNAcentral is "bacterial LSU rRNA". The stretch from base 123 to 786 matches the Rfam family "Bacterial large subunit ribosomal RNA", at positions 1 to 705 of the family's 2925-position model. The record is from RNAcentral. Lineage: Bacteria; Pseudomonadati; Pseudomonadota; Gammaproteobacteria; Enterobacterales; Enterobacteriaceae.